GUUCUGAAGGAAUCCUCAAUCACCACUGAAAAUGUAUUAGCUUUCUGCCACUGCCAUGGCAUGUGUGAGAAGUGUGAUGUGGGCCUCAGGAGACUCAGAGCAGGGUGACAGCAGGGACAGGCUCCUUCUGGAGACAGUAAGAUGAUCCAUUCCUUCUUUACACUGUGUUGGCUGAGAGCUGACCGCACUUCUCCCUCUCUCUGAUCCCCCUCCUGGUCAUCAAAGAUGUCAAGGAACACUCACCUACCUGCCUUGGCGAUCUUUAAGAUGAUUCCUAGAGGGUUGAGGAGAUGGAUCAGUGGAAAACAGGGUUGCUCUGAAAACAUGAGGAGGACUUGAAUUCAGAUUCCAAGAACCCACAAAAAGCCAGACAUGGUAACACACCCCUGUAACCCCAGCAUCCUUAUAGCAAGACUGGAGAGAGAGACAGAAGAGCGUCCUGAUGCUGUCAGCCCAGCUUGCCUGCUCGUCACAGCAGCAUUCACAAGACAGAAGACAAAAGACCAAAAUCAGAGCCUGUGCUCCGACACCACAAGCACAUGUGGCACAUGUGAAUCACGGUGUACACACCAAAUGCACACACAAAGAGACACACACAGACAGACACAUCAUUUUUUGAAAGAGCAGACACCCCCUUGUCUGGCAGGCCUGAAGCCUUGAAGCUUCUUCCUUAAGUCCUGUGACACUGGUGGGGGAGGUGGUGUUCAUAAAGCUCUUAGCUGAACGCUCCUCUCUCCACCCACUCCUACGCUUCCUCCCCAAACCUAAAACCGUGAAUGCCCACUAAUGAAGGUAUGUGUCUUCCACGGCCUUAACCAGUACACACCAGAGGCCAGGUAGUUGUCUGAGCCUACUCAGCAGGAGGGAGAAUGGUGGGUAUCAGCCAAGUCAGAGAAGAGCUGCAGCCAAGCAGACAAACAUGGUAGGGCUCGGGCAGCCACAGGCUUCUGAGAAAAGCAGCCCACUUUCUUACGCUGCUCACUUGGCUUUUAAGUAAGAUUUGCUCUGUGCUCACAGUACCUCAGGGCUCUCAUACCAUGCCUCAAAAUCCACUCUGUUUCCUCAGACUGUGAGCUCCAUAUUGGGGUGGGUAUUGGAGGCAGUGUCACUGUCUAAAUCAUGUAACUUUAAACUAGCCCCUUCCCCAGCCAGAGUCUUGCUUUGCCUCCAGUGAAAGCCGAUCCUCCCAGGAGAAUGCAUCCCAUCUAGUUGAGAUUUAUGCUAAUGGCCCUCGAGCCUCUCUGAUUCAGUUUAGAUCUUUUUAAACGCCUUGAUUAAAUUUGGAUUUUCCAAAAAUGUCAGAAGACUUUGAAUCAGGAAGUGCAAAUUCGUCGCAAGUUUGCCAAAGUGUGGGACGAUUCUCUCCUUCAGCCCUUCACGCUCUUUCGCUCUUUCGUGACUGAGACCCGUGGUUUACACAAAUGGGUACAUAUUUAGCAUGACGGCUGAGGAAAAACACUUGCCAGGAUCACACCCCAUCUCCCUUGCCUCACAGGCUCCGGGCACCUUGUAGGUCAAGGCAAGCUUGGGUCUCUUCAGUCCCCUGACCACGUCUGCACACAGCCAGGCUGUGAGUUCCAAGUUAACUCAGCUGCCCCCUUAGGAAGACACAGGACGGCUGCAGCAAAUCUCUCAGAGGGGCAAUAUGCAGGUGUCCAGCUGCUCACAUGGGGAGUUCUGGGAGGAGCCGAGAGUAGCCCACUGUCCACCUUUGGACCUGGCCAGUUGCUUUGGGUCAUGGAGUUUAUCGCAGAAACAGAAAGCAAACAAGGAUGCCUUCCCUGGACCUCGAGAGCUGAGCCUUCGCAAGAUCAGCGGGUGGAGCCUCACAGCCCACAGAGCAAGCAGCAGAGCAGUGCAGAGCAGGCCCCCACAAUGAGAACGUUCACCUCAGGAGAGGGCAAACUCGGGUCUGGGCUCUCUUGCAGGCCUCCAGGCUCACUCAGUAUCUGUGGCCCCUCAGCUUUUCCUGUCCCACCCCCAACCCUAAACUUCUCCUGCUCGAGGGCUUUGCUUUCUCCAGCCUCUCAUUCCUAUAGAACCCUGCCACUGCAGACAUGCACUCUCUUCUUGCUCUCUUGGCCCGGCUCGCACACUUUGGCCCUCCGCAUUUACUCUCUGCCACCCUCCCCCACCCCCAUGACCCAGCUCCGUCUACUGCUCGUGUUAGUCGACUGCUUUCUCUCCCUGCUCCGAACCCUUCCGGAUGCGUCUGGCUGUUCUCUCCCUUGCACCUACAAUAAAACCUUCCCUUCGACUAUA
Non-coding RNA from Rattus norvegicus (Norway rat), 2262 nucleotides. Lineage: Eukaryota; Metazoa; Chordata; Mammalia; Rodentia; Muridae. The record is from RefSeq and is a predicted model, not a curated record.